UGCAGUCGAGCGGAUGAUGAAGAAGCUUGCUUCUUCUGAUUUAGCGGCGGACGGGUGAGUAACACGUGGGCAACCUGCCCUGUAGAUUGGGAUAACUCCGGGAAACCGGGGCUAAUACCGAAUAAUCCAUUCCUUCACAUGGGGGAAUGUUAAAAGACGGUUUCGGCUGUCACUACAGGAUGGGCCCGCGGCGCAUUAGCUAGUUGGUGAGGUAACGGCUCACCAAGGCGACGAUGCGUAGCCGACCUGAGAGGGUGAUCGGCCACACUGGGACUGAGACACGGCCCAGACUCCUACGGGAGGCAGCAGUAGGGAAUCUUCCACAAUGGACGAAAGUCUGAUGGAGCAACGCCGCGUGAGUGAAGAAGGUUUUCGGAUCGUAAAACUCUGUUGUGAGGGAAGAACAAGUACGAGAGUAACUGCUCGUACCUUGACGGUACCUCAUUAGAAAGCCACGGCUAACUACGUGCCAGCAGCCGCGGUAAUACGUAGGUGGCAAGCGUUGUCCGGAAUUAUUGGGCGUAAAGCGCGCGCAGGCGGUCCUUUAAGUCUGAUGUGAAAGCCCACGGCUCAACCGUGGAGGGUCAUUGGAAACUGGGGGACUUGAGUGCAGAAGAGGAAAGUGGAAUUCCAAGUGUAGCGGUGAAAUGCGUAGAGAUUUGGAGGAACACCAGUGGCGAAGGCGACUUUCUGGUCUGUAACUGACGCUGAGGCGCGAAAGCGUGGGG
This 728-nucleotide ribosomal RNA is filed under the name Bacillus sp. FJAT-18000. RNAcentral describes it as "bacterial SSU rRNA". It matches the Rfam family "Bacterial small subunit ribosomal RNA", at positions 56 to 766 of the family's 1533-position model. The record is from RNAcentral. Lineage: Bacteria; Bacillati; Bacillota; Bacilli; Caryophanales; Bacillaceae.